RNAcentral lists this ribosomal RNA (459 nucleotides) under uncultured bacterium. RNAcentral's name for it is "partial 16S ribosomal RNA". It matches the Rfam family "Bacterial small subunit ribosomal RNA", at positions 338 to 795 of the family's 1533-position model. The record is from RNAcentral.
CCUACGGGAGGCAGCAGUGAGGAAUAUUGGUCAAUGGUCGGGAGACUGAACCAGCCAAGCCGCGUGAGGGAUGAAGGUACAGAGUAUCGUAAACCUCUUUUGUCAGGGAACAAAGGCGGGGACGUGUCCCCGGAUGAGUGUACCUGAAGAACAAGCAUCGGCUAACUCCGUGCCAGCAGCCGCGGUAAUACGGAGGAUGCGAGCGUUAUCCGGAUUUAUUGGGUUUAAAGGGUGCGCAGGCGGUCUGUUAAGUCAGCGGUCAAAGCCCGGGGCUCAACCCCGGCCCGCCGUUGAAACUGGCAGUCGCGAGUUGGAGAGAAGUAGGCGGAAUGCGCGGUGUAGCGGUGAAAUGCAUAGAUAUCGCGCAGAACUCCGAUUGCGAAGGCAGCAUGCCGGCUCCAAACUGACGCUGAGGCACGAAAGCGUGGGUAUCGAACAGGAUUAGAUACCCCGGUAGUC